GCAUGCGCACACAAACAAAUAAAAGAAAAAUAAGGUAUAAUAGAAGGAAUUACUCUACAAAGACAGCAAGACAAACAGCAACCUCUUUGCAAAGUCUAAAGAAAAUAGAAAUUGGUGUCAUGGUUUUGUUUUUUUUAAAAAACCCGUUAACUUUAAAAUAUUGGCAUCAACAAAAAAUUCUAAGAGGAUUUUUCAGUUUGAACAGAUUUCCUUUGUAAAACCAUAGUAAUGAACAGUAAAAGCCAAGAUGAACUAUGUCAAAGGAAACAGAAGAGGCACAAGGAAGGACUGAGGAGGUGAUUAAAACCACAAGGCUACGGAGGGGCUCCACUGUUAAAAGCACUUGCUGAUCUUGAGAAGAGCCAGGUUCAGUUCCCAGCACAGCAUAAACACCAGUUACAAGGAUAGGACGGCCCCUUCUGGUCUCUACAGAAUUCUAACAAGUCAUAUCUACCAGCAAGUUUUCUAUCUUCCUCUUGAUUGCCAGACACGGAUUGGCAACUCUGUUCAUGGAAUCCAGGUCUUGAUUGCUUUCGUUCAGAGUACUAUGAGGCACAGACACUGCCUCGACCUGAGCUGCUGCUUCCUGAGUCUUUGUCUAAAGUAUGAACUUAGUGACUUGAGGGUUGAUGUUCUGAGCCUCUAUAUAGAAGCAUGAUUAGGAGAGGUAAUAGCCUAAGAGAAAUUAAGACUGAAAUCAGUCUGCUGAGCUUUAGGACUGGGUCUCAACCUGUGGGUCUUGACCCUCACAGGGGUCACUCAGCAGAUAUCCUGCAUCCGAUAUUUACAUCACGAUUCAUAACAGUAGCAAAAUUAUAGUUAUGAAGUAGCAGUGAGAUAAUUUUAUGGUUGGGGGUCAGCACAACAUAAGGAACUGUAUUAAAGGGUUACAGCAUUCGGAGGACUGAGAACCACUGCUCUACAGUAAACGGAGAAACCGAUUAUAUGGGAGGAUGAAAAACGUCGAAAGCAAACCACCAAAAUAAAUUGUUGGGCUGCCUCUCACAAGUAAGGCUAAAUUCAAGCCUUGCUCCAGUAGCUUAACACCUUGGCAUGAGUGUGGAAGUACAAAGAACACCCGAAGGGAAGCAAGUGCUGAUGUGUACACUGUCAUCUGUACACGCUUGGUCCAACACCUACCUGUUCACCUUUCAUUCUGCAAUAGUAGCCCGACAGUGUUAUCCACGAUGCUGGAGCUGCAGAGCCCAUCAUUGGCAACAUAGUACCUUUCUCAUUUGCAGUAAAUAAAACCAUUUCAAGCACACUGGAAACUACAUGACAGGACGCACAGCAGAUGGAGCACACUGAGCAUGCGCAGAGAAUGCUGCCCUGUCUCCCGUCUAGUCUCCAUCCAGGAAUGGAGACCGUUGGAACAGUGGCAGAAGACCAGCGCGGACUGUCACUACAUGUGUGCGGAGCAAGCUAACAGAAUUGGGUUUUCUUUGAGAACAUGAAGAAGCUCCUGUGCUUCCCGCAAAAACAAAAGUCAGAUAUUCCUAUUGAAAUCAGUGUUUCACCUUUUAACAAAUGUCUCCAUCAAGGUGUGAUGAUGCACACCUAUAAUCUCAACUCUUGGAGAGCAAUCAGAAAGAUCACCGGUUCAAAGGCAACCUGGGCUACCAAUCAGACUAUCUCAGAAAACUAAAGAAAAAUAAAUGCUUCCUCCUGUUGUGAUUUACCCCAUUCCUUCUCUGUUUUCAUGUUUCCUUUUCUUCUGAGAGGUGUCUGUAAAAAAACAAAUAUGUGUAUGUGCUCCAAAUAGUUAACUGCAGAAGUUUAUGAAAUAAGGCUGUAUUAUUUACAAUAAGGUAGAGGAGACCCAACUCAUCCCUUUACUGAAGCCAUGAUAACUGUAGACACUGAGAUUAGUUAAAGAUAUAGCAAAGAUUAGCAGCCAACGGCAACAAUUCAGUCUUAAGAUAAUUUUCUAGAAUAGAUGGAUCUAGGCCUGGCAUUCCCUGCCUGCCUGUAGCAAACUUCCUAGAGCAUCCUUCUUUCCUAUCUAUCCUGUCAG
Myodes glareolus (Bank vole) is the source of this 2014-nucleotide non-coding RNA. NCBI's taxonomy places the organism in Eukaryota, Metazoa, Chordata, Mammalia, Rodentia, Cricetidae. The record is from RefSeq and is a predicted model, not a curated record.